UUUUCUUAUGUCACCUGUGAGAAGUUGGGUAGAAGUCUGGCCCCUGCAGACAGUGUGACUGUCGUCAAUUUACAGGGAGCAGUCCUCCUCAAAUCUUCAAUUUGCUCUUCCUCGUUUUCCACUCCUCUGCAUCUAGCCCAGUGAAAUGCAAGUGGGUGUGAUGUGACUUACUGUUGAGCCAAGGAUCUGGAAAUCUGUCAAACCCUCUCUUGCGUCAGGACCUUUGCACAUGCCUGUGUCUCUAUCAAGAAUGUUCCUCGCUCAGAUACCUGGUGGCGGCCAUGAUGAAGAAGAGACUUUGGAGCCUGUGGGACUGCCUACCGCAAGAAGGACAUGAGGAUGGUGC
Molecule: long non-coding RNA, 346 nt
Organism: Artibeus jamaicensis (Jamaican fruit-eating bat)
Lineage: Eukaryota; Metazoa; Chordata; Mammalia; Chiroptera; Phyllostomidae
Exons: 4
Source: RefSeq, a predicted model, not a curated record